This 459-nucleotide ribosomal RNA is filed under the name uncultured bacterium. RNAcentral's name for it is "partial 16S ribosomal RNA". It matches the Rfam family "Bacterial small subunit ribosomal RNA", at positions 339 to 795 of the family's 1533-position model. The record is from RNAcentral.
CUACGGGCGGCUGCAGUAAGGAAUAUUGCGCAAUGGAGGCAACUCUGACGCAGCCAUGCCGCGUGCAGGAAGAAGGCCUUAUGGGUCGUAAACUGCUUUUAUUUAGGAAUAAACCCCCGAACGUGUUCGGGGCUGAAGGUACUAAACGAAUAAGCACCGGCUAACUCCGUGCCAGCAGCCGCGGUAAUACGGAGGGUGCAAGCGUUAUCCGGAUUUAUUGGGUUUAAAGGGUGCGCAGGCGGGCUAUUAAGUCAGUGGUGAAAUCCCGGGGCUCAACUCCGGAACUGCCAUUGAUACUGAUAGUCUUGAGUUUGGUUGAGGUGGGCGGAAUGCAGCAUGUAGCGGUGAAAUGCAUAGAUAUGCUACAGAACACCAAUCGCGAAGGCAGCUUACUAAGCCAAAACUGACGCUCAUGCACGAAAGCGUGGGGAUCAAACAGGAUUAGAUACCCGGGUAGUC